RNAcentral lists this ribosomal RNA (253 nucleotides) under uncultured bacterium. Its description in RNAcentral is "partial 16S ribosomal RNA". It matches the Rfam family "Bacterial small subunit ribosomal RNA", at positions 524 to 776 of the family's 1533-position model. The record is from RNAcentral.
UACAGAGGUCCCAAGCGUUGUUCGGAUUCACUGGGCGUAAAGGGUGCGUAGGUGGUGAGUUAAGUCUGUCGUGAAAUCCCCAGGCUCAACCUGGGAACUGCGUCCGAUACUGGAUGGCUUGAAUCCGGGAGAGGGAUGCAGAAUUCCAGGUGUAGCGGUGAAAUGCGUAGAUAUCUGGAGGAAUACCGGUGGCGAAGGCGGCAUCCUGGACCGGCAUUGACGCUGAGGAGCGAAAGCCAGGGGAGCAAACGGG